CUGGAAAGCCCCAGGAUUGGGGAAUGGCUUCCUGCUGCCUCAGGCCACGGCCUCACCCAGCGCUGCCCAGGGUGAGAGGAAGAUGAAGGUCGCUGUGCUCAGCGUGGCCCUGCUCUUCACCAUCCUGCUGAGCUCCCCAGCAGAUGCCAAGGCACUCUUGGCAGGAACCCAAAAUGAUCUCCAGGAGAUUGAUUUAGGGGACGUUGAUAUCCUGAAGACGGCUCAGGUGGGUACCAG
Molecule: long non-coding RNA, 237 nt
Organism: Myiozetetes cayanensis
Lineage: Eukaryota; Metazoa; Chordata; Aves; Passeriformes; Tyrannidae
Exons: 4
Source: RefSeq, a predicted model, not a curated record